GGGUAUCGAGAUGGUAUCAAUGUGUGGUGGUUUAGAUUUGCUUGUAUCCUCCUUUUUUGGUUUAGUUGGGGGCAAAUUGAUGGUUGAUUUAAACUUUGGUUGUUUAGAAGUGAAGAGAGAGAGAGCUAGUUGAAAAAGGGAUAAUUGUUGAUAAAUCCCAUGGAAGUGUUCUCUCUUUGUGAAGGUUAUUUGGGAAGUCAUGCUCUGAUUAUGCUAGCCCAGU
This 223-nucleotide long non-coding RNA is filed under the name Capsicum annuum. RNAcentral describes it as "long non-coding RNA (CANN_LNC007024)". Lineage: Eukaryota; Viridiplantae; Streptophyta; Magnoliopsida; Solanales; Solanaceae. The record is from RNAcentral.